GGUUGGCUAGCUCAGUUGGUUAGAGCGUCGAGCUAAUAACUCGAAGGCCAUGGGUUCGACCCCCAUGCUGACCA
Ceratobasidium sp. 414 is the source of this 74-nucleotide non-coding RNA. The record is from the annotation of a GenBank genome assembly. Lineage: Eukaryota; Fungi; Basidiomycota; Agaricomycetes; Cantharellales; Ceratobasidiaceae.